AACCUGAACCAACUUCUAUUCUUUUUCUAAUGAAUGCUCAAGAUCUAUCUAAAAGGAGACAAUAGAGGAAAAAACAACACUACAAAAUGUCAGACAUGAAGACAGUUAAGCAACAACCCCUCAUCCCAAUGACUACGAACCUGGCAAUCACGCCCUCGUGAAUUCGUCAAAGAAUAGCAGCAACAUAUCUCGAGGCCCCUGUGUGAACCCGCCUACACCUCGCCCUCCAUAUACGACUCAUGAAAAAGUACCAGAUGAGCCUCUUAACUUUGUAAAUGACCGGCAACCCUCUCCAACGAGAACACACAAAAUUAAUAUUGUC
This 322-nucleotide long non-coding RNA is filed under the name Linum usitatissimum (flax). RNAcentral's name for it is "long non-coding RNA (LUSI_LNC005956)". The record is from RNAcentral. Lineage: Eukaryota; Viridiplantae; Streptophyta; Magnoliopsida; Malpighiales; Linaceae.